Molecule: ribosomal RNA, 253 nt
Filed under: uncultured bacterium
Lineage: Bacteria
Description: partial 16S ribosomal RNA
Rfam family: Bacterial small subunit ribosomal RNA
Source: RNAcentral
UACGUAGGGACCAAGCGUUGUUCGGAUUUACUGGGCGUAAAGGGCGCGUAGGCGGCGUGGUAAGUCACUUGUGAAAUCUCCGAGCUUAACUCGGAACUGCCAAGUGAUACUGCUGUGCUAGAGUGCAGAAGGGGCAACCGGAAUUCUUGGUGUAGCGGUGAAAUGCGUAGAUAUCAAGAGGAACACCUGAGGUGAAGACGGGUUGCUGGGCUGACACUGACGCUGAGGCGCGAAAGCUAGGGUAGCAAACAGG